UGAAAUGCGAUAAGUAAUGUGAAUUGCAGAAUCUCGUGAAUCAUCGAAUCUUUGAACGCACAUUGCGCCCUAUGGUAUUCCGUAGGGCAUGCCUGUCUGAGUGUCAGCUCCCCCCAAUCUCAAAGACUUCUUUAUCGAGCUUUGGAUGGCAUUGGAGAAGCAACAGGAAUGUUGUCCUCCAGAAAUUCAUUGGCAGUAUGAUUUUACCUGAGCCAAACGUAAUAAUAAUAACCAAACAAUUCGUUGAUUUCAGGUGUAUUUAAACUUGCCUUCAACCCACAUUUCACUUCUUUGGGUGACCUCAGAUCAGGUAGGGAUACCCGCUGAACUUAA
RNAcentral lists this unclassified non-coding RNA (333 nucleotides) under uncultured Pezizales. RNAcentral describes it as "sequence contains ITS1". The stretch from base 1 to 106 matches the Rfam family "5.8S ribosomal RNA", at positions 49 to 154 of the family's 154-position model. Lineage: Eukaryota; Fungi; Ascomycota; Pezizomycetes; Pezizales. The record is from RNAcentral.